This 442-nucleotide ribosomal RNA is filed under the name uncultured bacterium. RNAcentral describes it as "partial 16S ribosomal RNA". It matches the Rfam family "Bacterial small subunit ribosomal RNA", at positions 338 to 795 of the family's 1533-position model. The record is from RNAcentral.
CCUACGGUGGGCAGCAGUGGGGAAUAUUGGGCAAUGGGCGCAAGCCUGACCCAGCAACGCCGCGUGAAGGAAGAAGGCUUUCGGGUUGUAAACUUCUUUUGACAGGGAAGAGCAGAAGACGGUACCUGUCGAAUAAGCCACGGCUAACUACGUGCCAGUAGCCGCGGUAAUACGUAGGUGGCGAGCGUUAUCCGGAAUGAUUGGGCGUAAAGGGUGCGCAGGCGGUCCUGGAAGUCUGGAGUGAAACGGAUGGGCUCAACGCAUGCAUGGCGUUGGAAACUGGAGGACUGGAGGGCAGGAGAGGGCGGUGGAACUCCAUGUGUAGCGGUAAAAUGCGUAGAUAUAUGGAAGAACACCAGUGGCGAAGGCGGCCGCCUGGCCUGUUGCUGACGCUGAGGCACGAAAGCGUGGGGAGCAAAUAGGAUUAGAUACCCCAGUAGUC